RNAcentral lists this ribosomal RNA (330 nucleotides) under uncultured eukaryote. Its description in RNAcentral is "partial 18S ribosomal RNA". It matches the Rfam family "Eukaryotic small subunit ribosomal RNA", at positions 1470 to 1796 of the family's 1831-position model. The record is from RNAcentral.
CCCUUAGAUGUUCUGGGCCGCACGCGCGCUACACUGAUGCAUUCAACGAGUCUAAAACCUGGUCUGAUAGGGCUGGGUAAUCUUUUGAAUGUGCAUCGUGAUUGGGAUAGAUGAUUGCAAUUCUUCAUCUUCAACGAGGAAUGCCUAGUAAACGCAAGUCAUCAGCUUGCAUUGAUUACGUCCCUGCCCUUUGUACACACCGCCCGUCGCUCCUACCGAUUGAAUGUUCCGAUGAAUACCAUGGACUGAGAGUAUGAAUGGGUUCGCCUAGUUCUGCUUCUCGGGAAGUGGAGUAAAUCUUAACAUUUAGAGGAAGGAGAAGUCGUAACA